GCUCCUUUGACGUUAGCGGCGGACGGGUGAGUAACACGUGGAUAACCUACCUAUAAGACUGGGAUAACUUCGGGAAACCGGAGCUAAUACCGGAUAACAUAUUGAACCGCAUGGUUCAAUAGUGAAAGGCGGCUUUGCUGUCACUUAUAGAUGGAUCCGCGCCGUAUUAGCUAGUUGGUAAGGUAACGGCUUACCAAGGCAACGAUACGUAGCCGACCUGAGAGGGUGAUCGGCCACACUGGAACUGAGACACGGUCCAGACUCCUACGGGAGGCAGCAGUAGGGAAUCUUCCGCAAUGGGCGAAAGCCUGACGGAGCAACGCCGCGUGAGUGAUGAAGGUCUUCGGAUCGUAAAACUCUGUUAUCAGGGAAGAACAAAUGUGUAAGUAACUGUGCACAUCUUGACGGUACCUGAUCAGAAAGCCACGGCUAACUACGUGCCAGCAGCCGCGGUAAUACGUAGGUGGCAAGCGUUAUCCGGAAUUAUUGGGCGUAAAGCGCGCGUAGGCGGUUUUUUAAGUCUGAUGUGAAAGCCCACGGCUCAACCGUGGAGGGUCAUUGGAAACUGGAAAACUUGAGUGCAGAAGAGGAAAGUGGAAUUCCAUGUGUAGCGGUGAAAUGCGCAGAGAUAUGGAGGAACACCAGUGGCGAAGGCGACUUUCUGGUCUGUAACUGACGCUGAUGUGCGAAAGCGUGGGGAUCAAACAGGAUUAGAUACCCUGGUAGUCCACGCCGUAAACGAUGAGUGCUAAGUGUUAGGGGGUUUCCGCCCCUUAGUGCUGCAGCUAACGCAUUAAGCACUCCGCCUGG
RNAcentral lists this ribosomal RNA (810 nucleotides) under Staphylococcus sp. BAL307. Its description in RNAcentral is "bacterial SSU rRNA". It matches the Rfam family "Bacterial small subunit ribosomal RNA", at positions 80 to 876 of the family's 1533-position model. The record is from RNAcentral. Lineage: Bacteria; Bacillati; Bacillota; Bacilli; Caryophanales; Staphylococcaceae.